CAGUUAUAUUUUAUGAGGUGUGACAUCUGUGACACCCAUUCUUGGGAUUCUGAGCAAUCUGGAGCCUUGAGACCAAUCAGACCUUGGUGACCAGCACAUUGCCAACAUGCCUGGGGAAGACAACAAUAGUGUGCCACAGAAUGACAAGUCAGCAGUCAUUCAUGAAGUGUCUGACUUUGACUGGAGAGUAAAGGUUAUACUGGCUUCCAGCUCAGCUGGUAUGAUGUAUGAGCCC
Pollicipes pollicipes is the source of this 235-nucleotide long non-coding RNA. RefSeq lists it as uncharacterized. The transcript is spliced from 3 exons. The record is from RefSeq and is a predicted model, not a curated record. Lineage: Eukaryota; Metazoa; Arthropoda; Thecostraca; Pollicipedomorpha; Pollicipedidae.